This 744-nucleotide ribosomal RNA is filed under the name uncultured Inocybe. RNAcentral's name for it is "eukaryotic LSU rRNA". The stretch from base 201 to 354 matches the Rfam family "5.8S ribosomal RNA". Lineage: Eukaryota; Fungi; Basidiomycota; Agaricomycetes; Agaricales; Cortinariaceae. The record is from RNAcentral.
GGCUGUUGCUGGUCCUCUCCAGAGAUGACAUGUGCACGCUUGUCCUCUUUAUUCUUCCAACUGUGCACACAUUGUAGAUCUGGAUGUUGUUUUUUGAGGACUGCCGUGCUUUGCUGAACGGCUUUGCCUUGUAUUUCCAGGUCUAUGUUACAUUUAACAACGUGUCUUAGAAUGUCGGGUACUGGGGAUAACAAAUAUACAACUUUCAGCAACGGAUCUCUUGGCUCUCGCAUCGAUGAAGAACGCAGCGAAAUGCGAUAAGUAAUGUGAAUUGCAGAAUUCAGUGAAUCAUCGAAUCUUUGAACGCACCUUGCGCUCCUUGGUAUUCCGAGGAGCAUGCCUGUUUGAGUGUCAUCAAGUUCUCAACCAUACCCUGGGUGUGGCUUGGAUUUGGGGGGUUUUGCAGGCUUUCUUUGAAAGAACAAAGUCGGCUCCCCUGAAAAGCAUUAGUGGUAUCUGAGCUACCUUGGGUGUGAUUAACUAUCUAUGCCCUUGGUGUACAUGAACAGAUUGUGCUGCUUCUGAACCUGCGUCUUGCGCAUUUGACAAAUUUGACCUCAAAUCAGGUAGGAUUACCCGCUGAACUUAAGCAUAUCAAUAAGCGGAGGAAAAGAAACUAACAAGGAUUCCCCUAGUAACUGCGAGUGAAGCGGGAAGUGCUCAAAUUUAAAAUCUGGCGGUCAUUGACCGUCCGAGUUGUAAUCUAGAGAAGUGUUACCUGUGCUGGACCGUGUACAAGUCUCC